RNAcentral lists this transfer RNA (88 nucleotides) under Riemerella anatipestifer. Its description in RNAcentral is "tRNA-Ser". It matches the Rfam family "tRNA". From Rfam's summary of the family: Transfer RNA (tRNA) molecules are approximately 80 nucleotides in length. Lineage: Bacteria; Pseudomonadati; Bacteroidota; Flavobacteriia; Flavobacteriales; Weeksellaceae. The record is from RNAcentral.
GGAGGGUUGCCGGAGUGGUUAACGGAGCAGUUUGCUAAACUGUCGACUCGCAAGGGUCGCAUGGGUUCGAGUCCCAUACCCUCCGCAA